ACUCAAAUGAAUAGACGGGGGCCCGCACAAGCAGCGGAGCGUGUGGUUUAAUUCGAUGAUACGCGAAGAACCUUACCUGGGUUUGACAUGGAUGUGGUAGUGAAGCGAAAGCGGAACGACCCUUCGGGGAGCAUUCACAGGUGCUGCAUGGCUGUCGUCAGCUCGUGUCGUGAGAUGUUGGGUUAAGUCCCGCAACGAGCGCAACCCUUGUCGUUAGUUACAAGUGUCUAACGAGACUGCCGGUAUCAAACCGGAGGAAGGUAGGGAUGACGUCAAGUCAGCAUGGUCUUUAUAUCCAGGGCUACACACACGCUACAAUGGCCAGUACAAUAGGUUGCCACACCGCGAGGUGAAGCUAAUCCUCAAAGCUGGUCUCAGUUCGGAUUGUAGUCUGCAACUCGACUGCAUGAAGGCGGAGUUGCUAGUAACCGCGCGUCAGCAUAGUGCGGUGAAUACGUUCCCGGGCCUUGUACACACCGCCCGU
RNAcentral lists this ribosomal RNA (484 nucleotides) under uncultured bacterium. RNAcentral describes it as "partial 16S ribosomal RNA". It matches the Rfam family "Bacterial small subunit ribosomal RNA", at positions 899 to 1397 of the family's 1533-position model. The record is from RNAcentral.